Molecule: ribosomal RNA, 406 nt
Filed under: uncultured bacterium
Lineage: Bacteria
Description: partial 16S ribosomal RNA
Rfam family: Bacterial small subunit ribosomal RNA
Source: RNAcentral
AUUGAACGCUGGCGGCAGGCCUAACACAUGCAAGUCGAGCGAGCGGCGGACGGGUGAGUAAUGUAUGGGAAACUGCCCGAUAGAGGGGGAUAACUACUGGAAACGGUGGCUAAUACCGCAUACUAUCGGAUGAACCCAUAUGGGAUUAGCUAGUAGGUGGGGUAAAGGCUCACCUAGGCGACGAUCUCUAGCUGGUCUGAGAGGAUGAUCAGCCACACUGGGACGUAGAAACGGCCCAGACUCCUACGGGAGGCAGCAGUGGGGAAUAUUGCACAAUGGGCGAAAGCCUGAUGCAGCCAUGCCGCGUGUAUGAAGAAGGCCUUAGGGUUGUAAAGUACUUUCAGCGGGGAGGAGUUACCCGCAGAAGAAGCACCGGCCAACUCCGUGCCAGCAGCCGCGGUAAUUC